Sander lucioperca (pikeperch) is the source of this 251-nucleotide long non-coding RNA. RefSeq lists it as uncharacterized. NCBI's taxonomy places the organism in Eukaryota, Metazoa, Chordata, Actinopteri, Perciformes, Percidae. The transcript is spliced from 3 exons. The record is from RefSeq and is a predicted model, not a curated record.
UUUAAGGUAGCCUGGCACCACCCUCCUCCGUACGUCCACUCAAUUUUCAUUGUCCUUCAGUACUCCGUCUGGGUUUGCGGUACAUUCUUGGAUUUUCUCCGGCCGAAUCUUUACCGGUCCAAUCAGCGAACAGAGGGAGUGGCUGAGAACGAUGACGUUAAGGUCGUGCGCUAGAGUUGGAGAAAGAUGCGAGCGAAGCCAUUUGGUCCGUUGUGGCAAUGCUGCCGAAUAUCCAGAAGUUAAAGCACAAG